This 460-nucleotide ribosomal RNA is filed under the name uncultured bacterium. RNAcentral's name for it is "bacterial SSU rRNA". It matches the Rfam family "Bacterial small subunit ribosomal RNA", at positions 65 to 518 of the family's 1533-position model. The record is from RNAcentral.
AGGGGCAGCACAAGGAGCAAUCUGAGGUGGCGACCGGCGCACGGGUGAGUAACACGUAUGCAACCUGCCUGUAAGCGGGGAAUAACCCGUUGAAAGACGGACUAAUACCGCAUAAUACUAAAUUACUGCAUGGUAAUUUAUUUAAACAUUUAUGGCUUACAGAUGGGCAUGCGCAUGAUUAGCUAGUUGGAGAGGUAACGGCUCCCCAAGGCAACGAUCAUUAGGGGUUCUGAGAGGAAGGUCCCCCACACUGGUACUGAGACACGGACCAGACUCCUACGGGAGGCAGCAGUGAGGAAUAUUGGUCAAUGGACGAGAGUCUGAACCAGCCAAGUCGCGUGCAGGAAGAAUGUUCCCUAUGGAUUGUAAACUGCUUUUGCAGGGGAAUAAAGUGCAUCACGUGUGAUGUUUUGUAUGUACUCUGCGAAUAAGGAUCGGCUAACUCCGUGCCAGCCGCCGC